UGUGUAUGUUCAAACUUAUCAUGGUUAGACUAUAGCCUUUAGCUUUUUUCUGACCAGCGCCCAAUUCAGUUGACAACUGUCUACCACAUCAGUGAAGCAUGAAGUUGCUAUACCUUGCAAAAGCGGUGAAAACUGGGACUUCAACGUAGCGGUCCUGUUUUGUGGGCGUUGGGCUGUGCAAUGCAAAGUUUCAUAUGAAAAGUGAAACAGCCCUACUUGCUCAUCUGUGGUAUGCAAACGGGACUAUACAGAAGUUACAUUUUUGUUCCUCAUCAUAGACAAAGCUGUCGUCUUUUUGGGCAGUGAAAUGAUCUCAGAUGGUAUAAUUGAGAGAAGACAUCUAGAUACCUAAAAAAAAAACAUAUGAAUCUGCAAUUCAACCAACAAGGAUGAAUGUGAUUUAUCUGCUUUCUGUUCUGUUCUAUUUGGACCAACGUGAACUAACCUGACCAGAGGAAAAAUCGAAAUAAUCCACGUUUUAUACAAGGUCCUCAAGAAAUAAGCUUUCCAUAGAAUGUGUGGAUAAUCCUUACGGAUUUGGUGGCGUCAUCGUCACGGAUAAAGGAACAUACCCCAUUUUUUCCCAUCAGGGGAGUGCCUCCCGUGAUGGACAAGGCCCUCACAGUUCAGUGGAAAAGUUCCAAUGUGCUCACCAUGGAGCGGAUCCAGAGACCAUUGGGGAUUCAAACGGCAGCAAUGUGGCACCACCUGAUAUAUCCACUGAUGAAGAAGUUCCCAUGGAGGUAGACCAGCAGGAGUGAGAAAAACUUCAGUCUGGCGAGGUAUUGCAGUACUAUAACUAUAACAAGAGUCUUGAGGAGGGUUCACUGGAGGCAUUUACAGCCAUCAGGCAUCCAAUGCACCCAUGUUCAUGCACCUAACCAUGUACAUACACAUGCUUGAGGUGCCCUAAUAAAAACAACAAAAACAAAAC
Seriola aureovittata is the source of this 934-nucleotide long non-coding RNA. RefSeq lists it as uncharacterized. The transcript has 6 exons. The record is from RefSeq and is a predicted model, not a curated record. Lineage: Eukaryota; Metazoa; Chordata; Actinopteri; Carangiformes; Carangidae.